UGUCGAAGCAGUUUAAUCAUUCCUGGGUUUUCAAAGUUAUCAGGAUAUCGCAUAUGCUGAUGAGUUGGUGAAUUUUAGGGAGCAUGGUUAUGCAGCUGUAGACAUUUUAUGGGGAGUAGUUAGCAUGGAAUGUUUGGCCACUUCAACUGAAUAUGUUUCUUAUAUCUAUUAGGCCUAGCUCAAAAUAGUACGUCUAUGAAUUUGUAUAAAAGAGAAUAAGUGUAUGUAUGUUUUUUUUACUUCACCUUGUCCUUGUGGGGAUCAAAUUCAAAACUUUUUAACCAUCUGUAAGAGGCUAUAAAACGGUUAAAUAUUCAGUUUUUAUUCCUCUCCGAAAAUUAUUUUUUUCUAGGAGUAGUACUCCAUAAUCUUCAAUAGUAGUGCUUGAGCAAGUUCCAUUCUUGAUAAAUUCUGUUGGAUUUGUGGAUGGCCAAGUGUUUGGUUGUUGAAACAUGGACAUGGAAAGGGAUUUUAUUUUUCUCAUGCCUCCAUGUGCGUUACCAGUGACUUCAGACUGAGGGCUAUCUUUAAGGGCUCUGACAAGAUAUAUAGGAAUCUUGUUGCUCUUUAACAUAUUCGCUUUUUUUCCCCCCUUCUUGUAGCAGUAAUCCCAAUGUGUGCAACUUUUACUACUUGUUAGCCAUGGUUAACAACGAAAUGCCAUGUAUUUUCAUAAAGAAAUAUAUACAUUGUAGUCUCACAUUAUAUAUACUUUGUAGCCUUGUUUAUAUUUAAGUAAAUGAGAUCUCUCUCUGAUGCAUAAAAGGAAAAAAGAACAAAAUUAUAAUUCUAGACAAUUCCCUCUGUUUUGGUAAGCAAUAGUUAUGUGCUUUCAAGUUGAAUUGAAG
RNAcentral lists this long non-coding RNA (848 nucleotides) under Olea europaea subsp. europaea. The record is from RNAcentral. Lineage: Eukaryota; Viridiplantae; Streptophyta; Magnoliopsida; Lamiales; Oleaceae.